GAUGAACGCUAGCGGCAGGCCUAACACAUGCAAGUCGAGGGAGAGGUUAUCUUCGGGUAACCAAAACCGGCGCACGGGUGCGUAACGCGUAUACAAUCUGCCUUUCACAUAGGGAUAGCCCGAAGAAAUUUGGAUUAAUACCUAAUGGUAUAUAGGAGCGGCAUCGUUUUUAUAUUAAAGCUACGGUGGUGAAAGAUGAGUAUGCGUUCUAUUAGCUAGUUGGAGAGGUAACGGCUCCCCAAGGCGACGAUAGAUAGGGGUUCUGAGAGGGAUGUCCCCCACACUGGUACUGAGAUACGGACCAGACUCCUACGGGAGGCAGCAGUGAGGAAUAUUGGACAAUGGUCGGAAGACUGAUCCAGCCAUGCCGCGUGCAGGAUGAAGGUCCUAUGGAUUGUAAACUGCUUUUGUAAGGGAAGAAUAAGGAGUACGUGUACUUUGAUGACGGUACCUUACGAAUAAGCAUCGGCUAACUCCGUGCCAGCAGCCGCGGUAAUACGGAGGAUGCGAGCGUUAUCCGGAAUCAUUGGGUUUAAAGGGUCCGUAGGCGGGCUGAUAAGUCAGAGGUGAAAGCGCUUAGCUCAACUAAGCAACUGCCUUUGAAACUGUCAGUCUUGAAUGAUUGUGAAGUAGUUGGAAUGUGUAGUGUAGCGGUGAAAUGCUUAGAUAUUACACAGAACACCGAUAGCGAAAGCAUAUUACUAACAAUUUAUUGACGCUGAUGGACGAAAGCGUGGGGAGCGAACAGG
Molecule: ribosomal RNA, 749 nt
Filed under: uncultured Capnocytophaga sp.
Lineage: Bacteria; Pseudomonadati; Bacteroidota; Flavobacteriia; Flavobacteriales; Flavobacteriaceae
Description: bacterial SSU rRNA
Rfam family: Bacterial small subunit ribosomal RNA
Source: RNAcentral